Non-coding RNA from Vicia faba (fava bean), 246 nucleotides. The record is from the annotation of a GenBank genome assembly. NCBI's taxonomy places the organism in Eukaryota, Viridiplantae, Streptophyta, Magnoliopsida, Fabales, Fabaceae.
AUGUUCACGUCUGCAAUCAUCAGCGAAACUCGUAGGCGUUCAGUCCCGUACAUUCAGAUCAACGUCAAUUUCUCUUUUGUCUUUAUGCGUCACGACAGAACUUCGGACCAUCAGGGCAAGGAGAAAGAGGAAAUUUUGCGCCACAACAGAACUUCGGGCCACCAAGACAAGGAGAGAGAAGAGACUCCGAGCCUAGUGAAGGUGGAUGGGAUUUCAAACCGUCAUAUAUGGAGGAAUUUGAACAGG